RNAcentral lists this ribosomal RNA (409 nucleotides) under uncultured rumen bacterium. RNAcentral describes it as "bacterial SSU rRNA". It matches the Rfam family "Bacterial small subunit ribosomal RNA", at positions 509 to 916 of the family's 1533-position model. The record is from RNAcentral.
CAGCAGCCGCGGUAAUACGUAGGGUGCGAGCGUUAAUCGGAAUUACUGGGCGUAAAGCGUGCGCAGGCGGCUUUGCAAGACAGAGGUGAAAUCCCCGGGCUCAACCUGGGAACUGCCUUUGUGACUGCAAGGCUAGAGUACGGCAGAGGGGGAUGGAAUUCCGCGUGUAGCAGUGAAAUGCGUAGAUAUGCGGAGGAACACCGAUGGCGAAGGCAAUCCCCUGGGCCUGUACUGACGCUCAUGCACGAAAGCGUGGGGAGCAAACAGGAUUAGAUACCCUGGUAGUCCACGCCCUAAACGAUGUCAACUGGUUGUUGGACGGCUUGCUGUUCUAGUAACGAAGGUAACGCGUGAAUGUUGACCGCCUGGGGAGUACGGCCGCAAGGUUGAAACUCAAAUGAAUUGACGG